AAUAAAAAAAAGGUACGAUGCAGAAAUUGUUAUAAAAACUUUAUGCAUUUUUUAUUUUGUUCACAUGAAACCGGUUUAUGAAGUUUAAAAAAGAACUAGUUAUGGGACCCGUGCGAUGCUGCGGGUAGUUAUUUUAAAAUUUAAUUUUAAAAAUUAGUUAUAAAAAUCAAUUUCAGAAUUUAAAUGGUGCAAUAAAUACAUCAAAAAAUUUUAGUAGGCAUAGUAGUCCCCCAUUAGUUAGUGAAAUAAUUUUAGUAGGUAUCGUAAGCCCUAGUAGUUAGUGAAUGAGAAGAGAAAUUAUUAUUUGUGAUUCUCGCAAUUAAUUUUCAUCAAAUAUAAAAUUAACUUAAGCUGCAUCAAUUUUUUUUAUUUUUUAAUAUACAAUUUAUAUGUGAAUGCUCAAUAUUAUAAAAUUAAUAUUAAUAUUUAAUACCAGUAGUCUAAAUUAUUUAACAUUUAUUUAUAUAUUUUACAUUUUAUAAAAAUAAAUAGUAAAUUAUAUAAUAAAUUAUUAUAUAAUAAUAUAUCUAUAUACAAAUAAAAUACUAUAUAUAAUAAAUAAAAAUAUAUUUAUAAAUAAAAUUAUAUAUAUAUAUAUA
This 599-nucleotide long non-coding RNA is filed under the name Ananas comosus (pineapple). RNAcentral's name for it is "long non-coding RNA (ACOM_LNC037779)". The record is from RNAcentral. Lineage: Eukaryota; Viridiplantae; Streptophyta; Magnoliopsida; Poales; Bromeliaceae.